Molecule: long non-coding RNA, 414 nt
Organism: Strigops habroptila (Kakapo)
Lineage: Eukaryota; Metazoa; Chordata; Aves; Psittaciformes; Psittacidae
Exons: 3
Source: RefSeq, a predicted model, not a curated record
AUUCCUUUUUUUUUUUUGCCUUCUGCAGGUUUGUGCUGUCCCCAGAGAUUAUCAAGGAUAUGACAAGGUUCUUGGCCUCUGCAUUUGUCAAACUGACAGUCUGGAGGGUGUGUGUAACUCUCAGUGCAGAAGACAACAAAGAGAUACUCUGCAGGUCACUUGUACAGAGAAAAAUGCUCAGCUUGUUAUCACUUACAGAAAUGGGAGCAAGACUGCUGUUUACUUAGAAGAAUUAAGAAGAGUUCUACUAAGACCCUAUUUCUCUUUUAAAGACAUCUGCACUUCAGAACAAAGCAAAUAUACCCAUCCAACAUUCAUCGUGAAAAUGAAUGGAAAAGGAUUUUUAGGGGUGUAUAAUCCUGACCCACAACUAUUUCACAACUUCAUCAUGCUAAAUGAGGCUUCAUCACAUGA